RNAcentral lists this small RNA (26 nucleotides) under Bombyx mori (domestic silkworm). Its description in RNAcentral is "ovarian small RNA-21811". The record is from RNAcentral. Lineage: Eukaryota; Metazoa; Arthropoda; Insecta; Lepidoptera; Bombycidae.
UAGAAGCCCUACUGAGGUCUUUGAGC